UGCAGUCGACGGUGAUGGUGGAGCUUGCUCCGCCGGAUCAGUGGCGAACGGGUGAGUAACACGUGGGCAACCUGCCCCAGACUCUGGGAUAACUCCUCGAAAGAGGCGCUAAUACCGGAUACGAACUCCUUGGGCAUCCUCGGAGUUGGAAAGUUUUUCGGUCUGGGAUGGGCCCGCGGCCUAUCAGCUUGUUGGUGAGGUAACGGCUCACCAAGGCGACGACGGGUAGCCGGCCUGAGAGGGCGACCGGCCACACUGGGACUGAGACACGGCCCAGACUCCUACGGGAGGCAGCAGUGGGGAAUAUUGCGCAAUGGGCGAAAGCCUGACGCAGCAACGCCGCGUGAGGGAUGAAGGCCUUCGGGUUGUAAACCUCUUUCAGCAGGGAAGAAGCGAAAGUGACGGUACCUGCAGAAGAAGCACCGGCUAACUACGUGCCAGCAGCCGCGGUAAUACGUAGGGUGCAAGCGUUGUCCGGAUUUAUUGGGCGUAAAGAGCUCGUAGGCGGUUAGUCACGUCGGAUGUGAAAUCCCAGGGCUUAACCCUGGGCCUGCAUUCGAUACGGGCUGACUAGAGUGUUGUAGGGGAGACUGGAACUCCUGGUGUAGCGGUGAAAUGCGCAGAUAUCAGGAAGAACACCGGUGGCGAAGGCGGGUCUCUGGGCAACUACUGACGCUGAGGAGCGAAAGCGUGGGGAGCAAACAGGAUUAGAUACCCUGGUAGUCCACGCCGUAAACGGUGGGCGCUAGGUGUGGGGACCAUUCCACG
Molecule: ribosomal RNA, 768 nt
Filed under: uncultured Actinomycetes bacterium
Lineage: Bacteria; Bacillati; Actinomycetota; Actinomycetes
Description: bacterial SSU rRNA
Rfam family: Bacterial small subunit ribosomal RNA
Source: RNAcentral